AGUGAACGCUGGCGGUAGGCCUAACACAUGCAAGUCGAACGGCAGCACAGUAAGAGCUUGCUCUUACGGGUGGCGAGUGGCAGACGGGUGAGGAAUACAUCGGAAUCUACCUUUUCGUGGGGGAUAACGUAGGGAAACUUACGCUAAUACCGCAUACGACCUACGGGUGAAAGCAGGGGAUCUUCGGACCUUGCGCGAUUGAAUGAGCCGAUGUCGGAUUAGCUAGUUGGCGGGGUAAAGGCCCACCAAGGCGACGAUCCGUAGCUGGUCUGAGAGGAUGAUCAGCCACACUGGAACUGAGACACGGUCCAGACUCCUACGGGAGGCAGCAGUGGGGAAUAUUGGACAAUGGGCGCAAGCCUGAUCCAGCCAUACCGCGUGGGUGAAGAAGGCCUUCGGGUUGUAAAGCCCUUUUGUUGGGAAAGAAAAGCAGCAGGUUAAUACCCCGCUGUUCUGACGGUACCCAAAGAAUAAGCACCGGCUAACUUCGUG
This 492-nucleotide ribosomal RNA is filed under the name uncultured bacterium. RNAcentral's name for it is "partial 16S ribosomal RNA". It matches the Rfam family "Bacterial small subunit ribosomal RNA", at positions 29 to 507 of the family's 1533-position model. The record is from RNAcentral.